RNAcentral lists this long non-coding RNA (472 nucleotides) under Rattus norvegicus (Norway rat). Its description in RNAcentral is "long non-coding RNA NONRATT005764". Lineage: Eukaryota; Metazoa; Chordata; Mammalia; Rodentia; Muridae. The record is from RNAcentral.
CCCAGAACUGCCGAGGGAGACGGCUUAAAAGGCGAACAGACAGACGGCAGGGAGGGUCAGCAUGCCCCUACUGUUGCACCCCGCCUGGCCGCUGCUCCUGGGCGCCACGCUGACCUUCCGGGCACUCCGGCGCGUGCUCUGUCGCCUGCCCCUGCCGGCACACGUGCAAACCGACCCCCUGCGCACCUGGCGUUGGCACAACCUACUCGUCUCCUUCACACACUCCAUUGUAUCUGGGAUCUGGGCUCUGCUGUGGUGAGUGAACAACCCGGGGUAACGAGAUGGCCGUAGGGUCUUUCGCGGGGUGCUCGGACUGGAUUCCCUGUUGCUAUUCCCACCACUCUCGGGUGAACAGACACCAAGGAUCUCACCUGAUUCCCUGUUUGGAAAACUACCCAACCAAGAACGGCUGUGGGAAACCCAAGGUACCUGGGCUUUGGCCAAGUCCCUCCUUACUCUCCAACCAGCCAAU